This 750-nucleotide long non-coding RNA is filed under the name Salvator merianae (Argentine black and white tegu). RNAcentral describes it as "lncRNA (ENSSMRG00000022263.1)". The record is from RNAcentral. Lineage: Eukaryota; Metazoa; Chordata; Lepidosauria; Squamata; Teiidae.
GACUCAGAAGACUUUAAUUGCCCCAGCAGAUCACCUGUCAGGAGAGGACCCAAGACAUGCAACCCUAUUUCUUUGCUUGCUCAGUAGCUUCUGGCCUUCUCAACCAUGGUCUACCUUCAAGCUUCACCAGAAGUUAUGCUCCAGAUGUUACAUGCCAUGAUUUCCUGUGACCAAUCUCCAUUCUCAAAGAUGCACACAUGCACAGCAUACACUAGCAACCAACAGGUAAGGCCAUCCUCCAAUCACUACAGCUGGCCCAGGCACAUCUGGUUUGGCUGGCUGCUAACCUUGUCAGAUAUAAUUGCACUUUGUGCAUGUUUUUUUAUGGUGAGGGCUCUCUUGCUUUCUGUGUCAGGGGACCCUUUCCAUCCUUGCUACACCUCUGCUUGGAUGAGGCAUAUUCCCUUCCCCUUCUCAUGCAUUGAUCUCUUGGCAGGAAGGGGUAAUUUGUACCACCAGAAGUGGUUGGGUAGAAGUUUAAACCUAUAGCCCAACCCCCCACUCUAUUUUGCUUAAUUUGUAACGGUUAUACUUUUGCCAACAGCAAAAGGAUCCUGAGAAGAAAGGCAGAAGGUUUGGUUUAGAGGACCUAUAUAAGGAUUAGCCUGAAUUCCCACUCAACACUGGAUUUUGUGAAGUAGGAAAAUUCCAUUUUUAUUUUUUUAUUUUUUUUAAAAAAAACUAUUUUGGAAUUCAAAUGUGAUUUGGCUGGGAUCAGUCCUUUUCGCAGGAAUGGGUCUAAAAUUUGAU